UACAGAGGGGGCAAGCGUUGUUCGGAAUUACUGGGCGUAAAGGGCGCGUAGGCGGCCGCCUAAGUCAGACGUGAAAUCCCUCGGCUCAACCGGGGAACUGCGUCUGAUACUGGGUGGCUUGAGUUCGGGAGAGGGAUGCGGAAUUCCAGGUGUAGCGGUGAAAUGCGUAGAUAUCUGGAGGAACACCGGUGGCGAAGGCGGCAUCCUGGACCGACACUGACGCUGAGGAGCGAAAGCCAGGGGAGCAAACGGG
Molecule: ribosomal RNA, 253 nt
Filed under: uncultured bacterium
Lineage: Bacteria
Description: partial 16S ribosomal RNA
Rfam family: Bacterial small subunit ribosomal RNA
Source: RNAcentral